This 460-nucleotide ribosomal RNA is filed under the name uncultured bacterium. RNAcentral describes it as "partial 16S ribosomal RNA". It matches the Rfam family "Bacterial small subunit ribosomal RNA", at positions 338 to 795 of the family's 1533-position model. The record is from RNAcentral.
CCUACGGGUGGCAGCAGUGAGGAAUAUUGGUCAAUGGACGAGAGUCUGAACCAGCCAAGUAGCGUGAAGGAUGACUGCCCUAUGGGUUGUAAACUUCUUUUAUAAAGGAAUAAAACGAGGCACGUGUGCCUUUUUGCAUGUACUUUAUGAAUAAGGAUCGGCUAACUCCGUGCCAGCAGCCGCGGUAAUACGGAGGAUCCGAGCGUUAUCCGGAUUUAUUGGGUUUAAAGGGAGCGUAGAUGGGUUGUUAAGUCAGUUGUGAAAGUUUGCGGCUCAACCGUAAAAUUGCAAUUGAUACUGGCAGUCUUGAGUACAGUUGAGGUAGGCGGAAGGCGUGGUGUAGCGGUGAAAUGCAUAGAUAUCACGCAGAACCCCGAUUGCGAAGGCAGCAUACCGGCGCCCUACUGACGCUGAGGCACGAAAGUGCGGGUAUCGAACAGGAUUAGAUACCCGGGUAGUC